This 252-nucleotide unclassified non-coding RNA is filed under the name plant metagenome. Its description in RNAcentral is "partial contains small subunit ribosomal RNA, internal transcribed spacer 1, and 5.8S ribosomal RNA". The record is from RNAcentral.
UUUCCGUAGGUGAACCUGCGGAAGGAUCAUUACUGAGUUUGAAUGAAGUUGUUCUGGUCUUUCGGGGCAAGUGAACGCUUCUCUCAAUCCAUCUUACACCUGUGCACCUAUCGGGGAAGACUUGGAUCUAAGUUGGGUCACGACGGCGAUCUACAGUCUCCUCUUUAUACCAAAUAACAGUUUUAGAAAGUCUUUUUUGCUUGAUGCAAACUUAAAUAAAUACAACUUUCAGCAACGGAUCUCUUGGCUCUC